This 497-nucleotide ribosomal RNA is filed under the name uncultured bacterium. RNAcentral's name for it is "partial 16S ribosomal RNA". It matches the Rfam family "Bacterial small subunit ribosomal RNA", at positions 28 to 507 of the family's 1533-position model. The record is from RNAcentral.
GACGAACGCUGGCGGCGUGCCUAAUACAUGCAAGUUGAGCGAUGAAGAUUGGUGCUUGCACCAAUUUGAAGAGCAGCGAACGGGUGAGUAACGCGUGGGGAAUCUGCCUUUGAGCGGGGGACAACAUUUGGAAACGAAUGCUAAUACCGCAUAACAACUUUAAACAUAAGUUUUAAGUUUGAAAGAUGCAAUUGCAUCACUCAAAGAUGAUCCCGCGUUGUAUUAGCUAGUUGGUGAGGUAAAGGCUCACCAAGGCGAUGAUACAUAGCCGACCUGAGAGGGUGAUCGGCCACAUUGGGACUGAGACACGGCCCAAACUCCUACGGGAGGCAGCAGUAGGGAAUCUUCGGCAAUGGACGAAAGUCUGACCGAGCAACGCCGCGUGAGUGAAGAAGGUUUUCGGUUCGUAAAACUCUGUUGGUAGAGAAGAACGUUGGUGAGAGUGGAAAGCUCAUCAAGUGACGGUAACUACCCAGAAAGGGACGGCUAACUACGUG